Molecule: ribosomal RNA, 505 nt
Filed under: uncultured bacterium
Lineage: Bacteria
Description: partial 16S ribosomal RNA
Rfam family: Bacterial small subunit ribosomal RNA
Source: RNAcentral
GACGAACGCUGGCGGCGUGCCUAAUACAUGCAAGUAGAACGCACAGUUUAUACCGUAGCUUGCUACACCAUAGACUGUGAGUUGCGAACGGGUGAGUAACGCGUAGGUAACCUGCCUGGUAGCACGGGAUAACUAUUGGAAACGUAAGCUAAUACAGCAUAAUAUUGAUUAUUGCAUGAUAAUUAAUUGAAAGGUGCAAUUGUACCACUACCAGAUGGAUCAAGGUAGUAUUAGCUAGUAGGGGAGGUAACGGCUCACCUAGGCGAAGAUACAUAGCCGACCUGAGAGGGUGAUCGGCCACAACGGGACUGGAACCACGCCCAGGGCCCCAAGGGAAGGAACAAUCGGGAAACUUCGGCAAGAGGCGAAAGUCUGACCGAGCAACGCCGCGUGAAUGAAGAAGGUUUUCGGAUCGUAAAGCUCCAUUGUAAGAGAAGAAAGGGUGUGAGAGUAGAAAGUUCACACUGUGACGGUAUCUUAUCAGAAAGGGACGGCUAACUACGUG